Salmo salar (Atlantic salmon) is the source of this 159-nucleotide non-coding RNA. NCBI's taxonomy places the organism in Eukaryota, Metazoa, Chordata, Actinopteri, Salmoniformes, Salmonidae. The record is from RefSeq and is a predicted model, not a curated record.
GGAAGCUGCUCUCUCAGAACAACGGAAAAUAUCUCAAUGACUUGACAUGUUCUGGCUGUGAAUUCAGGCUACAAGGGGUCAGUUCUCUAAAAUGAGUCUCUCUGGGGAACAUGACACCAAAUCUAAGAGUCUAAUCAAACAGGAGAGACCAGCCUCCCG